CCGUGACAAACCGGAGGAAGGUGGGGAUGACGUCAAGUCCUCAUGGCCCUUAUGGGUAGGGCUUCACACGUCAUACAAUGGUCGGUACAGAGGGUUGCCAAGCCGCGAGGUGGAGCCAAUCCCUUAAAGCCGAUCGUAGUCCGGAUCGUAGUCUGCAACUCGACUACGUGAAGUCGGAAUCGCUAGUAAUCGCAGAUCAGCAUGCUGCGGUGAAUACGUUCCCGGGUCCUU
RNAcentral lists this ribosomal RNA (231 nucleotides) under uncultured Thauera sp. Its description in RNAcentral is "partial 16S ribosomal RNA". It matches the Rfam family "Bacterial small subunit ribosomal RNA", at positions 1153 to 1382 of the family's 1533-position model. The record is from RNAcentral. Lineage: Bacteria; Pseudomonadati; Pseudomonadota; Betaproteobacteria; Rhodocyclales; Zoogloeaceae.